This 81-nucleotide microRNA precursor is filed under the name Bursaphelenchus xylophilus (pine wood nematode). RNAcentral describes it as "mir-44 microRNA precursor family". It matches the Rfam family "mir-44 microRNA precursor family". Lineage: Eukaryota; Metazoa; Nematoda; Chromadorea; Rhabditida; Aphelenchoididae. The record is from Rfam by way of RNAcentral.
GCAACGUAGCUGGGUAUGCGUCUUAGUCAUACUGUUCACAACAAGGGUUAUGACUAGAUCCAUACUCAGCUCUGCGACAAG